Molecule: transfer RNA, 76 nt
Filed under: Gammaproteobacteria bacterium
Lineage: Bacteria; Pseudomonadati; Pseudomonadota; Gammaproteobacteria
Description: tRNA-Val
Rfam family: tRNA
About the family: Transfer RNA (tRNA) molecules are approximately 80 nucleotides in length. Their secondary structure includes four short double-helical elements and three loops (D, anti-codon, and T loops). Further hydrogen bonds mediate the characteristic L-shaped molecular structure. tRNAs have two regions of fundamental functional importance: the anti-codon, which is responsible for specific mRNA codon recognition, and the 3' end, to which the tRNAs corresponding amino acid is attached (by aminoacyl-tRNA synthetases). tRNAs cope with the degeneracy of the genetic code in two manners: having more than one tRNA (with a specific anti-codon) for a particular amino acid; and 'wobble' base-pairing, i.e. permitting non-standard base-pairing at the 3rd anti-codon position.
Source: RNAcentral
GGGCGAUUAGCUCAGUUGGGAGAGCGCUGCAUUCACAUUGCAGAGGUCGCUGGUUCGAGACCGGCAUCGCCCACCA